UAGGGAAUCUUCCACAAUGGACGCAAGUCUGAUGGAGCAACGCCGCGUGAGUGAAGAAGGUUUUCGGACCGUAAAGCUCUGUUGUUGGUGAAGAAGGAUAGAGGUAGUAACUGGCCUUUAUUUGACGGUAAUCAACCAGAAAGUCACGGCUAACUACGUGCCAGCAGCCGCGGUAAUACGUAGGUGGCAAGCGCUGUCCGGAUUUAUUGGGCGUAAAGCGAGCGCAGGCGGAAGAAUAAGUCUGAUGUGAAAGCCCUCGGCUUAACCGAGGAAUUGCAUCGGAAACUGUUUUCUUGAGUGCAGAAGAGGAGAGUAGAACUCCAUGUGUAGCGGUGGAAUGCGUAGAUAUAUGGAAGAAUACCAGUGGCGAAGGCGGCUCUCUGGUCUGCAACUGACGCUGAGGCUCGAAAGCAUGGGUAGCGAACAGGAUUAGAUACCCUGGUAGUCCAUGCCGUAAACGAUGAGUGCUAAGUGUUGGGAGGCUUCCGCCUCUCAGUGCUGCAGCUAACGCAUUAAGCACUCCGCCUGGGGG
This 532-nucleotide ribosomal RNA is filed under the name uncultured bacterium. RNAcentral's name for it is "partial 16S ribosomal RNA". It matches the Rfam family "Bacterial small subunit ribosomal RNA", at positions 355 to 879 of the family's 1533-position model. The record is from RNAcentral.